This 51-nucleotide small nucleolar RNA is filed under the name Ochotona princeps (American pika). RNAcentral describes it as "Small nucleolar RNA U83B (ENSOPRG00000022313.1)". Lineage: Eukaryota; Metazoa; Chordata; Mammalia; Lagomorpha; Ochotonidae. The record is from RNAcentral.
GCUCUGAAGAGGUUAGAUUUUGGAGUGUGCGCUUGGCACAGCCCCGAGAGC